This 442-nucleotide ribosomal RNA is filed under the name uncultured bacterium. RNAcentral's name for it is "partial 16S ribosomal RNA". It matches the Rfam family "Bacterial small subunit ribosomal RNA", at positions 338 to 795 of the family's 1533-position model. The record is from RNAcentral.
CCUACGGGGGGCUGCAGUGGGGGAUAUUGCACAAUGGGGGAAACCCUGAUGCAGCGACGCCGCGUGGGCGAAGAAGUAUUUCGGUAUGUAAAGCCCUAUCAGCAGGGAAGAAGAAAUGACGGUACCUGAGUAAGAAGCACCGGCUAAAUACGUGCCAGCAGCCGCGGUAAUACGUAUGGUGCAAGCGUUAUCCGGAUUUACUGGGUGUAAAGGGAGCGCAGGCGGCACGGCAAGCCUGAUGUGAAAGCCCGCGGCCCAACAGCGGGACUGCAUUGGGAACUACCGGGCUGGAGUGCCGGAGAGGGAGGCGGAAUGCAUAGUGGAGCGGGGAAAUGCGUAGAGAGUAGGAGGAAGACCAGUGGCGAAGGCGGCCUACUGGACGGUGACUGACGCUGAGGCUCGAAAGCGUGGGGAGCAAACAGGAUGAGAGACCCUUGUAGUC